This 273-nucleotide ribosomal RNA is filed under the name uncultured bacterium. RNAcentral's name for it is "partial 16S ribosomal RNA". It matches the Rfam family "Bacterial small subunit ribosomal RNA", at positions 524 to 787 of the family's 1533-position model. The record is from RNAcentral.
UACGAAGGGUGCAAGCGUUAGUCGGAAUUACUGGGCGUAAAGCGUGCGUAGGCGGUCUCUUAAGUCCGUUGAUGAAAGCCCUGGGCUCAACCUGGGAACUGCAGUGGAUACUGAGAGCUAGAGUGUGUCAGAGGAUGGUGGAAUUCCCGGUGUAGCGGUGAAAUGCGUAGAGAUCGGGAGGAACAUCAGUGGCGAAGGCGGCCAUCUGGGACAACACUGACGGCUGAGGCACGGAAAAGCGAUGGGGGAGCCAAACAGGGAAUUAAGAAACCC